AGUGAACGCUGGCGGUAGGCCUAACACAUGCAAGUCGAACGGCAGCACAGUAAGAGCUUGCUCUUACGGGUGGCGAGUGGCGGACGGGUGAGGAAUACAUCGGAAUCUACUUUUUCGUGGGGGAUAACGUAGGGAAACUUACGCUAAUACCGCAUACGACCUACGGGUGAAAGCAGGGGAUCUUCGGACCUUGCGCGAUUGAAUGAGCCGAUGUCGGAUUAGCUAGUUGGCGGGGUAAAGGCCCACCAAGGCGACGAUCCGUAGCUGGUCUGAGAGGAUGAUCCGCCACACUGGAACUGAGACACGGUCCAGACUCCUAGGGGGGGCAGCAGGGGGGAAUUUUGGAAAAUGGGCGGAAGCCUGAUCCAGCCAACCCGCGUGGGUGAAGAAGGCCUUCGGGUUGUAAAGCCCUUUUGUUGGGAAAGAAAAGCAGCAGGUUAAAACCCCGCUGUUCUGACGGUACCCAAAGAAUAAGCACCGGCUAACUUCGU
This 491-nucleotide ribosomal RNA is filed under the name uncultured bacterium. RNAcentral describes it as "partial 16S ribosomal RNA". It matches the Rfam family "Bacterial small subunit ribosomal RNA", at positions 29 to 506 of the family's 1533-position model. The record is from RNAcentral.